CAUUCAAAGAGUGCGUAACAGCUCACUGGUCGAGUGGACAUGCGCCGACAAUACACGGGGCUAAGCUGGACACCGAAGCGGCGGGAUUUUGAUUUUCAGAAUCGGUAGGGGAGCUUCCCAUGGGCGGAGAAGCCGGAGGGCGACCGACGGUGGAGCGCAUGGGAGUGAGAAUGCUGGCAUGAGUAGCGAGAGACGAGAGAGUAACUCGUCCGCCGUGAACCCGAGGUUUCCUGGGCAAGGCUAAUCCUCCCAGGGUCAGUCGGGGGCUAAGGCGAGGCCGGGAGGCGUAGCCGACGCGCAGCAGGCAGACAUUCCUGCACCGCGCACGCGGCGCUACGACCGACGGGGCGACGGAUGGGGGUGGCUCGGCGGGGUUCUGGACGUCCCCGUGAUGGAGCGCGGCCCGCGGACCAGGGAAAUCCGGUCCGCAUCAAGGGCGAGGCUCCGGACGAAGCGAUUGAGCGAAGCGAGUGAGCCCGAGGUCCCUAGAAAAACCCCUAGGCAGGCGCGUGCGCGCCCGUACCGCAAACCGACACAGGUGGGUGGGUAGAACAUACCGAGGCGAUCGGGUCAACCAUGGUCAAGGAACUCGGCACAAUGGCCCCGUAACUUCGGGAGAAGGGGUGCCCGCGCGUACGUGAACCGGCUCGCCCGGGGAGCGGAGGCGGGCCGCAGUGGAGAGGCCCAAGCGACUGUUUACCAAAAACACAGGACUCUGCAGAAGCCGCAAGGCGACGUAUAGGGUCUGACGCCUGCCCGGUGCCGGAAGGUCACGCGGAGGAGUUAGCCGUCAAGGCGAAGCCCCGAAGCCAAGCCCCGGUAAACGGCGGCCGUAACUAUAACGGUCCUAAGGUAGCGAAAUUCCUUGUCGGGUAAGUUCCGACCUGCACGAAAGGCGCAACGACUUGGGCGCUGUCUCGACCAUGGACCCGGUGAAAUUGCACUGGUCGUGAAGAUGCGACUUACCCGCGGAAGGACGGAAAGACCCCGUGAACCUUCACUGCAGCUUGGCAUUGGCCGCUGGUCCCGCGUGUAGAGGAUAGGCAGGAGGCACAGAUCCGGAGGCGCCAGCCCCCGGGGAGCCGCCCUUGGAAUACUGCCCUCGCGCGACCGGCGUCCUAACCCGAGGCCGUCAACCGGCUCGGGGACCGUGCCAGGCGGGCAGUUUGACUGGGGCGGUCGCCUCCUAAAGGGUAACGGAGGCGCGCGAAGGUCCGCUCGGGACGGUCGGCAACCGUCCUUUUGAAUGCAAGAGUACAAGCGGGCUUGACUGCGAGGCCCACAAGCCGAGCAGGUGCGAAAGCAGGCUCUAGUGAUCCGGCGGCCCCGAGUGGGUGGGCCGUCGCUCAACGGAUAAAAGGUACUCCGGGGAUAACAGGCUGAUCUUGCCCAAGAGUCCACAUCGACGGCAAGGUUUGGCACCUCGAUGUCGGCUCAUCGCAUCCUGGGGCUGGAGCAGGUCCCAAGGGUACGGCUGUUCGCCGUUUAAAGCGGUACGCGAGCUGGGUUCAGAACGUCGUGAGACAGUUCGGUCCCUAUCCUCCGUGGGCGCAGGAGAAUCGAUGGAGGCUGCCCCCAGUACGAGAGGACCGGGGUGGACGCACCUCCGGUGAACCGGUUGUCGACCAACGGCACGGCCGGGUAGCCGCGUGCGGCGCGGAUAACCGCUGAAGGCAUCUAAGCGGGAAGCCGUUCCAGGGAUUAGUUCUCCUUCCGGUAAGGGCCCAGGUAGACUACCUGGUCGAUAGACGGCAGGUGCAAGGGCGGCGACGUCCUCAGCCGAGCCGCACUAAUCGCCCGAGCUCUUCCGGAA
RNAcentral lists this ribosomal RNA (1813 nucleotides) under human gut metagenome. RNAcentral's name for it is "bacterial LSU rRNA". It matches the Rfam family "Bacterial large subunit ribosomal RNA", at positions 1120 to 2925 of the family's 2925-position model. The record is from RNAcentral.